This 480-nucleotide ribosomal RNA is filed under the name uncultured bacterium. RNAcentral's name for it is "bacterial SSU rRNA". It matches the Rfam family "Bacterial small subunit ribosomal RNA", at positions 28 to 507 of the family's 1533-position model. The record is from RNAcentral.
GAUGAACGCUAGCGGCAGGCUUAAUACAUGCAAGUCGAGGGGUAGAGGAAGCUUGCUUCCUUGAGACCGGCGCACGGGCGCGUAACGCGUAUGCAAUCUACCUUAUACAGGGGAAUAGCCCAGAGAAAUUUGGAUUAAUGCCCCAUAGUGUUAUAGAAUCGCAUGGUUUUAUAACUAAAGUUCCAACGGUAUAAGAUGAGCAUGCGUCCCAUUAGUUAGUUGGUAAGGUAACGGCUUACCAAGACAAUGAUGGGUAGGGGUCCUGAGAGGGAGAUCCCCCACACUGGUACUGAGACACGGACCAGACUCCUACGGGAGGCAGCAGUGAGGAAUAUUGGUCAAUGGGCGCAAGCCUGAACCAGCCAUGCCGCGUGCAGGAAGACGGUCCUAUGGAUUGUAAACUGCUUUUAUACAGGAAGAAACCUCCCUACGUGUAGGGACUUGACGGUACUGUAGGAAUAAGGAUCGGCUAACUCCGUG